GUAGAGCAACAGGCACCCUCGCAGACAGCUUUGCGGGACUGUAGCUUGGUACGCCCUCUACGAGAGCAAUUUGGCAAUGCUAUCAAAGCUAAAAAUGCACACAUCCUCCAAUUCGCCAACUCUUCAAGGAAUUCACCCUCCACAGACUCACUUGUGCAUGUGUGAAAUGACAGUACUUCAGAGCCGCUCAGCUUAUAACAGCAAAAGCUUGGAAAUGGCCUGAAUGCCUAUCAAGAGGGCACUGCUUAAAGAAACGAUUGUCCCUCCAAACAACAGAAUUCUGUGCAGCAGACGGCGCCUGAGCGAUCUUUGAGAACUACUGAUGCCUGGCCCAGCUCUGGCCCCGGUGCUGCCUGCAUGCCAAGCGCUUCAUUAGCCGGGAAAGAAGACUCUUGCCCUCCUUCGUCUAAUCCUCGCCAGUGACCUUCAGGAACCAGGCACCUUCUGACGUUGGGAGCCUGGGAUGGUGCAAUCAUCAAUUACGCCGUGGCCUCCGCAGCUGUUCCUGAAUGGAUUUCUUGCUCAGAGAAGCGUGUUUGAAAAGCAUCUAAUGGAACGGAUCAUCAAUUUGUUUGAAUACACAUCUAAUCUGAUUAGGGGGGCACUGGCCACCAGGGCAGCUAGUGCAACUGAGCCUUGACAUGGCCCCAGGGAAUCAUAAGUGGGGUGGCGGGGCCAGUCUAGGGAAGGAGGGCUGUGUGCCCUGGGCCUGCCACCGAGCCCUCCUUGAGCUCAGCCCAUGGUACGUCCAGCCAAAAAAGUCACAGAGAAAAGCAGAACACAUCACACAGAUGCCAGGAGAGCUGGGCCCAAGACUCCUGUUUUUCUAUAGCCCUGGCACUGGGCACAGAGCCUGAGACAAAGAAGAUGCUUGGGAAAUAUGUGGCAAAUGAAUGACAGUAAGGCCCAACAUGGAAGCCAAGGGAUGUUUAAUAAAGUCAUCUGUGGGACAAGACUAGGUGAUGCCUGUAUUGGGUUGAAUAUGUCUCCCCCAAAUUCAUGUCCUUCCCAAAACCUCAGAAUGUGACCUGAUUUGGAAAUCGAGUCUUUGGAGAUGUAGUUUGUUAAGAUGAGGUCACGCUGGAGUAGGAUGGGCCUUCCGUGACUGGUGUCUUGGUAGGAGGAGAAGAAACACAGGGAAAGAGACACACAAGGAGAAGACAAGAGCCAAGUAAAGACAGAGGCAGGGACUGAAGCGACGCAUCUACCAGCCAGGGAAUGCCAAGGACUGCUGGGAGCCACCAGGCAGGCCUAGGACGGGGGCAGGACGGAGUCUCCCGUUGAGCCUGCAGAAGGAGCAUGCCCCUGUCACCCUGAUUUCAGACUUCUGGCCUCCAGAACUGUGAGAGAACAGAUUUCUGCUGUUUAAAGCCACCCAGCUUAUAGUGCUUUGUCAUGGCAGCCCAGGAAACUCAUGCAAUGCCUACAGGAAGCUUUGUCCGUCAUUCCACAGAAGGCAGCAUGGCAGAGAACCAGAAGGAAGUCCGAGCCCUGCCUCGCUGGAUGUAGCUGGUCCUUCCCAGACACAUCACGUGCGCCAUGCCACUCUCUUCCCUGGGGAGCCCUUUCUUACCUUCUUUACCAGGAAAAUGUUGGUUUUCAAUCCAUGUUAGUUCCUGUCCAGCACCCCUUCAAAGCUCAAAUGCCAUGCCCUCUGUAACUCUUCUCCAGAUGUCCUCCUCAGACUCCUGAGAUCGCCUCCCUCCCAGCAUGCUUGGUGAUUCCCAUGCUACAUCCCCCACUGCUGGGCACACUGGGGCUCCCUCAUCUUCCUAGCCCCAGAGCCUGGCAACAGCCUGGCCUGCAGAAGAGCCCAGAUCCAUGAGAAAGUGGGCAAGCAAACUUGCUGUGGACCAGCGGGUCCCUCCCUUCUUGGGAGUGGACCAGAAUGGAGAUCACAAAGUUCCCUUCCAGCCCUGACAUUAUAAGAGCCGAGUAGCCCUCUGGGGGAUGACCUUACUGGGCCCUGUAAUGGGACCACCUGGGUUCAAACCCAGUGGACUCUGCCACUCACAGGCUGUGUUUCCCUGGGCAUCAUUCUGUAACUCUGCUGCACCUCUCCUGAAAAAUAGGGAUAGCAGUGCCUACCUCGUUGGCCUAUGGAAAGGGGUAAGUGCUUCAACCAGUGCCUGGCACAGAGAAAGAGCCCUUGGAAAGAAGGCUGUUAUUAUUCCUCAUCUUGGCUUGGUGCAGCCUCUGCAAGCCCUUCUCAUAGCCGGGGCCUCCUGUUUGAACCACACAGGUAAACAGGGCCAAAGCACCUCCAACCUUGCAUGGAAAAAAGACGGUUCUCAUUUCCAAUAGGUUUAUUUUGCAGUUAACAGAGGGGAAGGGAGCUCUUUCUUACAUUUCCCUUGGAGGGUUCAGAGAUUAAACUUAUACCAUCGAUUAGAAUGUUUUGGCCUAACGGUGCUAGUAUCAUUUUAGUGUAUUCAGAUUCAUUUGAGCUAUAAAAGUGGCGAUAAUAAAAUGUUCACUAAGU
Long non-coding RNA from Homo sapiens (human), 2482 nucleotides. NCBI's taxonomy places the organism in Eukaryota, Metazoa, Chordata, Mammalia, Primates, Hominidae. The record is from Ensembl.